This is a long non-coding RNA of Oncorhynchus nerka (sockeye salmon), 1852 nucleotides long. RefSeq lists it as uncharacterized. The record is from RefSeq and is a predicted model, not a curated record. The transcript is spliced from 4 exons. NCBI's taxonomy places the organism in Eukaryota, Metazoa, Chordata, Actinopteri, Salmoniformes, Salmonidae.
UAGGUCGUAACAGAAUUCCGGUGAGUAGCGUAUCCCUACGGAUGACAUUUUGGACACGCCAUUAACGUGUUAGAACAUUUGUUGUUGUUUUCUUGACAAUAUUUUCUUUCUUGUUCAUGGAAGACAUAAGUCAAGUUUGUUCAGUAUCAGUUGGAUCAGAAACAGGGCUUGAAAGGUGUGAGCCUAUCAAAAAAAACAGGCAUUCAACUUCUGUGAGAUGAACUGCCUCAGUCGGGACCAGGAAGUGUGUGUCCUGGGCUGGGGAGAUCCACAGGAGAGUAAUGGAGCCCUUGAUGAUGUCUGAUCUGUUGGUCAUUGAUGUGUUUAGAGUGCACAUAGGUCUGAAUGUUUGCAUUGUGGUUGUAGGGCUAUUGUGUUACUUACCUGUCUUGUCAGUUCUAGGUGGGGUCUGUGAAUGGCACAGUGAAGAGGUUCAGCACAGAGAAGGGCAUCAUUACUGAGACCAGACAGUGUGGGGAGAGCAACCAGGGCAGGUUCACAGGACUCGCCGCCACAGACCGGUUGGAAUAAAUAUUGGGAAGAAUGUUUUUUGGAUGUGACAGAAUCCCUAGCAGCGCAGCCAAGUGGCUACAGGAGGGAAAGAGAAUGGCCUGAAGGCCUGGGAUCCGGAGAGACCUGAAACACCGGUCUUUGCCUCCAAGAAUGUGCGUAAUGACUGGCUGGACCUGCGGGUGCCAGAGUGGGUUAGAGACAUGGCCUUCAUCGCAGACUCAGACAAGAUAGACACCUGCACAGGUCAACACCAGGUCUGUCUGUCUUUCCCUGUACAAGCCCUGUUCUUAGACUGGGUCUGCUGGUCUUCUCAGCCAGCCUUGGAGUCUUUCCCUGUACUCAAAUGAUACAUUCAUCAGGACUUUGGCGCAUUUUUUGUUAGAUACGCAACCAGGCCAGCGCAGUACAUUUUGGCACACUGGGUUUGGCUCAGCUCAGUACAUUUUGGGGGGGAUGAAACUGUCCUGUAAAAGGUUCAUUCAUAUUAUACAACGGGUGGUUCUAAUCCUGAAUGUUGAUUGGUUAAAACCGCAUUCCAGCAGGUGUCUAUUCCACAAGUUACCACCGGCUAAAUCUAUGAAGUCUAUUUACUCUGUUCCAUCUGACUUCACAAUCCACUGUCACAUCAGCCAAACCAAGCAACUUAUAAACUUGAUCUCCACUAUAAAAAGCAUCUCCUUUUGAAGUGAUUGUGUUAGCUGUGUUGUUGACUAGCUCCUCUGAACAACAGUGUCCUGAGGAGAGAGCACAUUUUCUAUGCCAGGCGAAAUUGCGCCUCAUUAGCUCAUUGUUAUGGAUGUAUCCAAAUAAAUGUUACUAGAAAACAGCUUAUGCAAAUGCAGCUACUGUUAUUAUUUUGUCUGCAAUGUUUGAUGUGACUGUAAGUUAGCAGUAGUUGGCUAGCUAGCAAGCAAGGGAUAAGAACAUUGCCAGCCAGUAUGGAAAUGGAACAUUUAGAAUGAACGACAGGGUCACAUCCAUAGAUACAGAACAAAAAGACUGAACGACUGGUUCGAGUCUCUAGCAACCGACAGAACGAACCACCGCUUGGGUAGCAACCCGGGACUCUGUCUUGUGGAAGGAUGAAAUAGUAUGAAUAAAUUCAUCAAAAUAAUGUUUUUAAUGAAAAUAUGUCAGUCAGAAUUUGAGUAUGUUGGUAAACCAUUGUAUAAAAGUGAUAAUGCCCUGGACUUUGUCUUGAGCUUAACAAUACCCGUGCCAAUAUAUCCUCCAAACACCGGCUCCUCGGGCAUUAUCACUUAAUUGGUCAAGUUCAAGUACCCUGAUGUAUGGUUUGUAUCAUUGCUACAUAAGCAAACCAUUAAACUUCUUAACUUGA